AGAGUUUGAUCAUGGCUCAGAUUGAACGCUGGCGGAAUGCUUUACACAUGCAAGUCGAACGGCAGCACGGGGGCAACCCUGGUGGCGAGUGGCGAACGGGUGAGUAAUACAUCGGAACGUGCCCAGUCGUGGGGGAUAACGUAGCGAAAGCUACGCUAAUACCGCAUACGAUCUCUGGAUGAAAGCGGGGGACCGCAAGGCCUCGCGCGAUUGGAGCGGCCGAUGGCAGAUUAGGUAGUUGGUGGGGUAAAGGCUCACCAAGGCGACGAUCCGUAGCGGGUCUGAGAGGAUGAUCCGCCACACUGGGACUGAGACACGGCCCAGACUCCUACGGGAGGCAGCAGUGGGGAAUUUUGGACAAUGGGCGCAAGCCUGAUCCAGCCAUGCCGCGUGAGUGAAGAAGGCCUUCGGGUUGUAAAGCUCUUUCGGUGGGGAAGAAAUUGCUUCGGUUAAUACCUGGAGUAGAUGACGGUACCCGCAUAAGAAGCACCGGCUAACUACGUG
RNAcentral lists this ribosomal RNA (504 nucleotides) under uncultured bacterium. RNAcentral's name for it is "bacterial SSU rRNA". It matches the Rfam family "Bacterial small subunit ribosomal RNA", at positions 8 to 507 of the family's 1533-position model. The record is from RNAcentral.